AGUGAACGCUGGCGGUAGGCCUAACACAUGCAAGUCGAACGGCAGCACAGGAGAGCUUGCUCUCUGGGUGGCGAGUGGCGGACGGGUGAGGAAUACAUCGGAAUCUACUCUGUCGUGGGGGAUAACGUAGGGAAACUUACGCUAAUACCGCAUACGACCUACGGGUGAAAGCAGGGGACCUUCGGGCCUUGCGCGAUUGAAUGAGCCGAUGUCGGAUUAGCUAGUUGGCGGGGUAAAGGCCCACCAAGGCGAGGAUCCGUAGCUGGUCUGAGAGGAUGAUCAGCCACACUGGAACUGAGACACGGUCCAGACUCCUACGGGAGGCAGCAGUGGGGAAUAUUGGACAAUGGGCGCAAGCCUGAUCCAGCCAUACCGCGUAGGUGAAGAAGGCCUUCGGGUUGUAAAGCCCUUUUGUUGGGAAAGAAAUCCAGCUGGCUAAUACCCGGUUGGGAUGACGGUACCCAAAGAAUAAGCACCGGCUAACUUCGUGCCAGCCGCCACCGUAA
RNAcentral lists this ribosomal RNA (506 nucleotides) under uncultured bacterium. Its description in RNAcentral is "partial 16S ribosomal RNA". It matches the Rfam family "Bacterial small subunit ribosomal RNA", at positions 29 to 523 of the family's 1533-position model. The record is from RNAcentral.